GACGAACGCUGGCGGCGUGCUUAACACAUGCAAGUCGAACGGUAAGGCCCUUCGGGGUACACGAGUGGCGAACGGGUGAGUAACACGUGGGUGAUCUGCCCUGCACUUCGGGAUAAGCCUGGGAAACUGGGUCUAAUACCGGAUCGGACCACUUCCUGCAUGGGUGGUGGUGGACAGCUUUUGCGGUGUGGGAUGGGCCCGCGGCCUAUCCGCUUGUUGGUGGGGUGAUGGCCUACCAAGGCGACGACGGGUAGCCGGCCUGGGAGGGUGACCGGCCACACUGGGACUGAGAUACGGCCCAGACUCCUACGGGAGGCAGCAGUGGGGAAUAUUGCACAAUGGGCGCAAGCCUGAUGCAGCGACGCCGCGUGAGGGAUGACGGCCUUCGGGUUGUAAACCUCUUUCAGCACCGACGAAGCGCAAGUGACGGUAGGUGCAGAAGAAGGACCGGCCAACUACGUGCCAGCCGCCGCGGUAA
This 478-nucleotide ribosomal RNA is filed under the name uncultured bacterium. RNAcentral's name for it is "partial 16S ribosomal RNA". It matches the Rfam family "Bacterial small subunit ribosomal RNA", at positions 28 to 523 of the family's 1533-position model. The record is from RNAcentral.